AUGACGGGUUCUAACGAGUUCAAGCUGAACCAGCCGCCCGAAGAUGACAUCUCCUCGGUCAGGUUCAGCCCCAACACCUCCCACUUCCUGCUGGUCUCCUCCUGGGACACGUCCUUGCGCCUCUACGACGUGCCGGCCAACUCCCUGCGGCUCAAGUAGCAGCACACCGGCGCGGCCCUGGACUGCGCCGUCUGCAAUCCAACGCAUGCUUGGAGUGGAGGAUUAGAUCAUCAGGUGAAAAUGCAUGAUUUCAACGCCGAUCAAGAAAAUCUUGUUGGAACUCAGGAUGCUCCUAUCCGAUGUGUUGAAUACUGUCUGGAAGUGAAUGUGAUGGUUACUGGAAGUUGGGAUCAAAGAGUUAAACUGUGGGAUCCCAGAACUCCUUGUAAUGCUGGGACCUCCUCGCAGCCUGAAAAACUGUACACCCUCUCGGUGUCUGGAGACCGACUGAUAGUGGGAACAGCGGGCCGCAGGGUGUUGGUGUGGGACUUGCGGAGCAUGGGCUACGGCGGCAGCGCAGGGAGUCCAGCCUGAAGUACCAGACUCGCUGCAUUCGAGCUUUUCCGAACAAGCCGGACUAUAUAUUAAGCUCCAUUGAAGGCCGAGUGGAGUUGAGUACUUGGAUCCAAGUCCUGAGGUACAGAAGAAGUAUGCCUUCAUAUGUCACAGGCUAAAAGAAAAUAAUAUUGAGCAGAUUUACCCAGUCAAUGCUAUUUCCUUUCACAACAUCCGCAAUACAUUUGCCACAGGUGGUUCUGAUGGAUUUGUAAAUAUCUGGGAUCCAUUUAACAAGAAGCGACUGUGCCAAUUCCAUCGGUACCCCACCAGCAUCGCAUCACUUGCUUUCAGUAAUGAUGGGACUACACUUGCAAUAGCAUCAUCACAUAUGUAUGAAAUGGAUGACACAGAACAUCCUGAAGAUGGUAUCUUCAUUCGCCAAGUGACAGAUGCAGAAACAAAACCCAAGUCACCAUGUACUUGACAAGAUUUCAUUUACUUAGGGCCAUGUUGAUGAUGAUAAAACAAUUCGUAC
Molecule: RNA transcript, 1033 nt
Organism: Carlito syrichta (Philippine tarsier)
Lineage: Eukaryota; Metazoa; Chordata; Mammalia; Primates; Tarsiidae
Gene name: mitotic checkpoint protein BUB3 pseudogene
Exons: 1
Source: RefSeq, a predicted model, not a curated record